Molecule: ribosomal RNA, 504 nt
Filed under: uncultured Desulfobulbus sp.
Lineage: Bacteria; Pseudomonadati; Thermodesulfobacteriota; Desulfobulbia; Desulfobulbales; Desulfobulbaceae
Description: bacterial SSU rRNA
Rfam family: Bacterial small subunit ribosomal RNA
Source: RNAcentral
GCCAGCCCGCUCAAGAAACUUAAGGAAUUGACGGGGCCCGCACAAGCGGUGGAGCAUGUGGUUUAAUUCGAUGCAACGCGAAGAACCUUACCUGGUCUUGACAUCCCGGAGACCCUUAGGAAACUAGGGGGUGCUUCCAUCUGGAAGAAUCUGGAGACAGGUGCUGCAUGGCUGUCGUCAGCUCGUGUCGUGAGAUGUUGGGUUAAGUCCCGCAACGAGCGCAACCCUUGCCUUUAGUUGCCAGCAGUUCGGCUGGGCACUCUAAAGGGACUGCCGGUGUUAAACCGGAGGAAGGUGGGGAUGACGUCAAGUCUUCAUGGCCUUUAUGACCAGGGCUACACACGUACUACAAUGGCCGAUACAAAGGGCAGCGACACUGCGAGGUGAAGCCAAUCCCGUAAAAUCGGUCUCAGUCCGGAUUGGAGUCUGCAACUCGACUCCAUGAAGUUGGAAUCGCUAGUAAUCGUGGAUCAGCAUGCCACGGUGAAUACGUUCCCGGGCCUU